RNAcentral lists this ribosomal RNA (884 nucleotides) under uncultured bacterium. RNAcentral's name for it is "bacterial SSU rRNA". It matches the Rfam family "Bacterial small subunit ribosomal RNA", at positions 8 to 916 of the family's 1533-position model. The record is from RNAcentral.
AGAGUUUGAUCCUGGCUCAGGAUGAACGCUGGCGGCGUGCUUAACACAUGCAAGUCACGGGGGCCAGCAAUGGCAACCGGCGAACGGGUGCGUAACACGUGAGCAACCUACCGAAAUGAGGGGGAUAGCCGGCCCAACGGCCGGGUAAUACCGCAUACGCUCGAGACCAGGCAUUUGGACUCGAGGAAACCUCCGGGGCAUUUCGAGGGGCUCGCGGCCUAUCAGCUAGUUGGUGAGGUAAGAGCUUACCAAGGCGACGACGGAUAGGGGGCCUGAGAGGGUGAACCCCCACACUGGGACUGAGACACGGCCCAGACUCCUACGGGAGGCAGCAGUGAGGAAUAUUGCACAAUGGGCGCAAGCCUGAUGCAGCAACGCCGCGUGGAUGAUGAAGGUCUUCGGGUCGUAAAAUCCUUUUCUUGGUGACGAGCAAGGACGGUAGCCAAGGAAUAAGCGUCGGCUAACUACGUGCCAGCAGCCGCGGUAAAACGUAGGACGCAAGCGUUAUCCGGAGUUACUGGGCGUAAAGAGCAAGUAGGCGGUAGAGUAAGUUGUCUAUGAAAACGACUGGCUAAACUGGUCGGGGAUAGAUGAGACUGCUGUACUAGGGUCUGACAGAGAAGCAUGGAAUUCCGGGUGUAGUGGUGAAAUGCGUAGAGAUCCGGAGGAACACCAGAGGCGAAGGCGAUGCUUUAGGUCAGUACCGACGCUCAGAUGCGAAAGCAUGGGUAGCGAACGGGAUUAGAAACCCCGGUAGUCCAUGCCGUAAACGAUGCACACUAGACGUUCGUUUUGCCGAAAGGCGAGUGAGUGUCGCAGCUAACGCGCUAAGUGUGCCGCCUGGGGAGUACGGUCGCAAGGCUAAAACUUAAAGGAAUUGACGG